This 244-nucleotide small RNA is filed under the name Hafnia alvei ATCC 51873. The record is from RNAcentral. Lineage: Bacteria; Pseudomonadati; Pseudomonadota; Gammaproteobacteria; Enterobacterales; Hafniaceae.
GUGAUUACGGUUGAUUUUAAAGACUAUUUUAUGAUUCUGAAAAAAAAGACCUGAUACGACUCCUGUAUCAGGUCUAGGGAAAUGGCUCUUGGGAGAGAGCCGUGCGCUAAAAGUUGGCAUUAAUGCAGGCUUGGAAUGCCUUGCUAUUUAAUAGUAGUCGACGAUGCUUUUUUUUCCAGUUUUGAGCAAAUCGUGCGGUUAAGCGCGAUAACUGAAAAUGUUAAUGUCUUAAUUGCUAUCGAUA